Molecule: ribosomal RNA, 460 nt
Filed under: uncultured bacterium
Lineage: Bacteria
Description: partial 16S ribosomal RNA
Rfam family: Bacterial small subunit ribosomal RNA
Source: RNAcentral
CCUACGGGAGGCAGCAGUGAGGAAUAUUGGUCAAUGGGCGCGAGCCUGAACCAGCCAAGUAGCGUGAAGGAUGACUGCCCUACGGGUUGUAAACGUCUUUUAUAAAGGAAUAAAGUGAGGCACGUGUGCCUUUUUGUAUGUACUUUAUGAAUAAGGAUCGGCUAACUCCGUGCCAGCAGCCGCGGUAAUACGGAGGAUCCGAGCGUUAUCCGGAUUUUUUGGGUUUAAAGGGUGCGUAGAUGGGUUGUUAAGGUAGGUGUGAAAGUUUGCGGCUCAACCGUAAAAUUGCCAUUGAUACUGGCAGUCUUGAGGACAGUUGAGGUAUGCGGAAUGCGUGGUGUAGCGGUGAAAUGCAUAGAUAUCACGCAGAACCCCGAUUGCGAAGGCAGCAUACCGGUGCACAACUGACGCUCAGGCACGAAAGCGUGGGUAUCGAACAGGAUUAGAUACCCGUGUAGUC